Molecule: ribosomal RNA, 468 nt
Filed under: uncultured bacterium
Lineage: Bacteria
Description: partial 16S ribosomal RNA
Rfam family: Bacterial small subunit ribosomal RNA
Source: RNAcentral
GACGAACGCUGGCGGCGUGCUUAACACAUGCAAGUCGAACGGAAAGGCCCUGCUUUUGUGGGGUGCUCGAGUGGCGAACGGGUGAGUAUAACGUGAGGAACCUGCCCUUGACUUUGGGAUAACUUCAGGAAACUGGGGCUAAUACCGGAUAGGAGCUCCUGCUGCAUGGUGGGGGUUGGAAAGUUUCGGCGGUUGGGGAUGGACUCGCGGCUUAUCAGCUUGUUGGUGGGGUAGUGGCGUACAAAGGCUUUGACGGGUAGCCGGCCUGGGAGGGUGACCGGCCACAUUGGGACUGAGAUAGGGCCCAGACUCCUACGGGAGGCAGCAGUGGGGAAUAGUGCGCAAUGGGCGGAAGCCUGAUGCAGCAACGCCGCGUGCGGGAUGACGGCUUUCGGGGUGUAAACCGCUUUCGCCUGUGACGAAGCGUGAGUGACGGUAAUGGGUAAAGAAGCACCGGCUAACUACGUG